UAAGGAAGUUGAGGCCCGAGGAG
Molecule: unclassified non-coding RNA, 23 nt
Filed under: Mus musculus (house mouse)
Lineage: Eukaryota; Metazoa; Chordata; Mammalia; Rodentia; Muridae
Description: oocyte_clustered_small_RNA10938
Source: RNAcentral